UUUUAUGAUGAUUCAAACUUUAAAAGCUGGAAUUACUGGCUGAAUCUAUAUUUGUUGAUAAACGAAGCACCAAUACGCAACUGAAR
RNAcentral lists this small nucleolar RNA (86 nucleotides) under Brettanomyces bruxellensis AWRI1499. The record is from RNAcentral. Lineage: Eukaryota; Fungi; Ascomycota; Pichiomycetes; Pichiales; Pichiaceae.